GAUCUUGGUCAGGACGAACGCUGGCGGCGUGCCUAACACAUGCAAGUCGAGCGAGGAGAUCCCUUCGGGGAUGAACCUAGCGGCGGACGGGUGAGUAACACGUGGGCAACCUGCCUUAUAGAGGGGAAUAGCCUUCCGAAAGGAAGAUUAAUACCGCAUAACAUUACAUUUUCGCAUGAAGAAGUAAUUAAAGGAGUAAUCCGCUAUAAGAUGGGCCCGCGGCGCAUUAGCUAGUUGGUGAGGUAACGGCUCACCAAGGCGACGAUGCGUAGCCGACCUGAGAGGGUGAUCGGCCACAUUGGGACUGAGACACGGCCCAGACUCCUACGGGAGGCAGCAGUGGGGAAUAUUGCACAAUGGGGGAAACCCUGAUGCAAGCAACGCCGCGUGAGUGAUGAAGGUCUUCGGAUCGUAAAGCUCUGUCUUCAGGGACGAUAAUGACGGUACCUGAGGAGGAAGCCACGGCUAACUACGUGCCAGCCGCUGC
RNAcentral lists this ribosomal RNA (487 nucleotides) under uncultured bacterium. RNAcentral describes it as "bacterial SSU rRNA". It matches the Rfam family "Bacterial small subunit ribosomal RNA", at positions 15 to 518 of the family's 1533-position model. The record is from RNAcentral.